GCGGCGCGAGGCGACGAGACGGCGCGCGGCGCCGCAGCGGCGACGGGACGCGUGCGACGACGGGGCGCGGCGAUGGGACAGCGGCGCGGCGCGGUAGCAGCGGUGGUACGGGCUCGGGCGGGACGCGACGGGUGGCGACGCGACGGGUGGCGACGAGCGGGCGAGCGGCGACGGUGACUGCGCGACAGCGGCGACGCGACGGGCGGGCAGCGGCGGCGCGCGGCGCGAGGUGCGGGUGCGGGCGCGGCAGUGGUGCGCGGCGCGAGGCGGCGAUGGGACGCGCGCGGCGACGGCUCACAGCAGCGGCGCGGGGCGCGAGGCGGCAGGCUCGCGUCGCGGCGAUAGAACGGGCGAGCGGCGCGCGGGCGCGAGGCGCGAGGCGACGCGACGUCGGUGCGGCGCGGCAGCGGCGAUGGUGACGGCGGUGCGACGGCACGGGGCUCGGGGCGGCCGGGCGCGCGGCGCGCGGGGCAGAGGAGGGGGCUGGGCU
This 490-nucleotide small RNA is filed under the name Oryza sativa Japonica Group (Japanese rice). Its description in RNAcentral is "sRNA Os11g0613950". The record is from RNAcentral. Lineage: Eukaryota; Viridiplantae; Streptophyta; Magnoliopsida; Poales; Poaceae.